ACCGGCGGCUAGAGUGGUGGCCACUAUUACUGGGCUUAAAGCGUUCGUAGCUGGCUUGUUAAGUCUCUGGGGAAAUCUUCCGGCUCAACCGGAAGGCGUCUCAGGGAUACUGGCAGGCUAGGGACCGGUAGAGGUGAGAGGUACUCCAGGGAUAGGAGUGAAAUCCGGUAGUCCUUGGGGGAAGACCUGUGGCGAAGGCGUCUCACCAGGACUGCUCCGACAGUGAGUAACGAAAGCUAGGGAAGCAAACCG
This 252-nucleotide ribosomal RNA is filed under the name uncultured prokaryote. Its description in RNAcentral is "partial 16S rRNA". It matches the Rfam family "Archaeal small subunit ribosomal RNA", at positions 475 to 726 of the family's 1478-position model. The record is from RNAcentral.